UAACGUGUGGGCAACCUGCCCUGUACUGGGGAAUAAUCAUUGGAAACGAUGACUAAUACCGCAUGUGGUCCUCGGAAGGCACCUUCUGAGGAAGAAAGGAUUUAUUCGGUACAGGAUGGGCCCGCAUCUGAUUAGCUAGUUGGUGAGAUAACAGCCCACCAAGGCGACGAUCAGUAGCCGACCUGAGAGGGUGAUCGGCCACAUUGGGACUGAGACACGGCCCAA
This 225-nucleotide ribosomal RNA is filed under the name uncultured bacterium. Its description in RNAcentral is "partial 16S ribosomal RNA". It matches the Rfam family "Bacterial small subunit ribosomal RNA", at positions 111 to 334 of the family's 1533-position model. The record is from RNAcentral.